This 460-nucleotide ribosomal RNA is filed under the name uncultured bacterium. Its description in RNAcentral is "partial 16S ribosomal RNA". It matches the Rfam family "Bacterial small subunit ribosomal RNA", at positions 338 to 795 of the family's 1533-position model. The record is from RNAcentral.
CCUACGGGUGGCAGCAGUGAGGAAUAUUGGUCAAUGGCCGAGAGGCUGAACCAGCCAAGUCGCGUGAGGGAAGAAUGUCCUAUGGAUUGUAAACCUCUUUUGUCAGGGAGCAAAGUCACCCACGUGUGGGUGUUGGAGAGUACCUGAAGAAAAAGCAUCGGCUAACUCCGUGCCAGCAGCCGCGGUAAUACGGAGGAUGCGAGCGUUAUCCGGAUUUAUUGGGUUUAAAGGGAGCCUAGGCCGCAGUUCAAGCGUGCUGUGAAAUGUCUGGGAUAAACCCGGGCCUGGAGGAGCGAAAUGGCGUGCUUGAGUCGGCGGAAAGCAGGCGGAAUUGGUCGUGUAGCGGUGAAAUGCUUAGAUAGGACGAAGAACCCCGAUUGCGAAGGCAGCUUGCUGCAGCGGAACUGACGCUGAUGCUCGAAAGCGCGGGUAUCGAACAGGAUUAGAUACCCCGGUAGUC